Microcebus murinus (gray mouse lemur) is the source of this 439-nucleotide non-coding RNA. NCBI's taxonomy places the organism in Eukaryota, Metazoa, Chordata, Mammalia, Primates, Cheirogaleidae. The record is from RefSeq and is a predicted model, not a curated record.
GGAGCAGCCCCGAGACCAGCAGGAAGGGUAUAAAAAUAUCUGGAUCCCAUUGGGAUAUGAGUACUCACUCUGUGAUUACCAUGUUCACAGGACAGAGAAGCUCCUGACGGCCAGCGUUCAGAAGCCGGAGGAGAUGUGCACAGCACGCUGUGACGCCCGGUGACAAAGGGUAACUGACAGUGGGAAGGAGCAGCGAUCACUCUGCUUCUGGAUGGCAUUAGUCACAGCAUUAGGGACAUACUGAGCUCCUCUGAGACUGUAACAGCUCAUUGGUCUAGCUUUGGGUAGACCAACAUGACAUGGGGGCAGCAGCCCUGGCAGAUGUCCACACUGUCGUGGAGGAUGCUGCCAGCAGUGGUCUUGAGGAGCCUUCAGGUGGCUUCCCAGGCAGUGAAAGCCAAUUGGGGGUGGGGGGGUGCUGAAGAGGAAGCACACGACA